ACGAACAGAUUGUAAUUCAUAUGUUUAGUAGUGGUGUGUGGGUGUGUUUUUUUAAACAAUAAUUUGGAGAUAGCAUAAAACUAGUGGGCACUUAGCAAAUAUAAAAUUUCAAACAGGCAGGGCAAUAAUUACUUGUACUUUUGUGUAUAAAUGGAAUUAACUGAUUGAGCAAUUGAAAAAAUGAGAAGCAGAAAAACAGCACGAGGUGAAUUUACUGAAUCCAGUCCACUACUUCAGGACGCACAAGAUGAAGAAACUGAAAUAA
Molecule: RNA transcript, 265 nt
Organism: Ictalurus punctatus (channel catfish)
Lineage: Eukaryota; Metazoa; Chordata; Actinopteri; Siluriformes; Ictaluridae
Exons: 4
Source: RefSeq, a predicted model, not a curated record